RNAcentral lists this ribosomal RNA (249 nucleotides) under Unio pictorum (painter's mussel). Its description in RNAcentral is "partial 28S ribosomal RNA". It matches the Rfam family "Eukaryotic large subunit ribosomal RNA", at positions 43 to 282 of the family's 3401-position model. Lineage: Eukaryota; Metazoa; Mollusca; Bivalvia; Unionida; Unionidae. RNAcentral also lists the same sequence under 4 other names. The record is from RNAcentral.
UUACUAAGCGGAGGAAAAGAAACUAACAAGGAUUCCCCUAGUAACGGCGAGUGAAGAGGGAAAAGCCCAGCACCGAAUCCCACAGCCUUGCGCUGUCGGGAACUGUGGUGUAUAGGAAGCCUACUUGUCGGCGUGUUCGGGUACCCAAGUCCUCCUGAUCGUGGCCUCUCCCAUAGCGGGUGUCAGGCCCAUACAGGCACCCGACGGCGUCGGCUUGGAGCUUCCUCGGAGUCGGGUUGUUUGGGAAUG